RNAcentral lists this ribosomal RNA (434 nucleotides) under uncultured bacterium. Its description in RNAcentral is "partial 16S ribosomal RNA". It matches the Rfam family "Bacterial small subunit ribosomal RNA", at positions 28 to 507 of the family's 1533-position model. The record is from RNAcentral.
GAUGAACGCUGGCGGUAUGCUUAACACAUGCAAGUCGAACGGACUCUUCGGAGUUAGUGGCGGACGGGUGAGUAACGCGUGAGAAUCUGGCUUUGGGUUCGGGACAACCACUGGAAACGGUGGCUAAUACCGGAUGUGCCGAGAGGUAAAAGAGAAAUUGCCUGAAGAUGAGCUCGCGUCUGAUUAGCUAGUUGGUGAGGUAAAGGGCCACCAAGGCAGCGAUCAGUAGCUGGUCUGAGAGGAUGACCAGCCACACUGGGACUGAGACACGGCCCAGACUCCUACGGGAGGCAGCAGUGGGGAAUAUACCGCAAUGGGCGAAAGCGUGACAGAGCAAUACCGCGUGAGGGAAGUAGGCGCUUGGGUGGUAAACCUCUUUUCUUAGGGAAGAACAAAAGGACGGAACCUAAGGAUACAGCAUCGGCAAACUCGUG